CGAUAUCGACGAGUUUGACCUGGCUCAGAUUGAACGCUGGCGGCAUGGUUAAAGCAUGCAAGUCGAACGCGAACCACCUUCGGGUGGGGAAAGUGGCGAAAGGGCGAGGAAUACGAUCGAAUGUGCCCCGAGGUGGGGGAUAGCGUCGAGAAAUCGGCGGUAAUACCCCAUGUGCUCUACGGAGGAAAGGUUUACCGCCUUGGGAGCAGCGAUCGUCCUAUCAGGUAGUUGGUGGGGUAAUGGCCUACCAAGCCGAAGACGGGUAGCGGGUGUGAGAGCAUGACCCGCCGCAUCGGAACUGAGACACUGUCCGGACUCCUACGGGAGGCCGCAGCGACGAAUAUUCCGCAAUGGGCGAAAGCCUGACGGAGCAAUGCCGCGUGUGGGAUGAAGCGCCUUCGGCGUGUAAACCACUGUCAGGUCCUAGGAACACUGACCAGGACCAGAGGAAGGGCCGGCUAACCUCGUG
This 469-nucleotide ribosomal RNA is filed under the name uncultured bacterium. Its description in RNAcentral is "bacterial SSU rRNA". It matches the Rfam family "Bacterial small subunit ribosomal RNA", at positions 1 to 507 of the family's 1533-position model. The record is from RNAcentral.